CGGGAGGCAGCAGCCAGGAAUCUUGGGCAAUGGGCGAAAGCCUGACCCAGCAACACCGUGUGGGCGACGAAGGCCUUAGGGUCGUAAAGCCCUGUUGAUAGGGACGAAGGGCGAAGGGUUAAUAGCCCCUAGCUUGACGGUACCUUUCGAGGAAGCCCCGGCUAACUACGUGCCAGCAGCCGCGGUAAUACGUAGGGGGCGAGCGUUGUCCGGAAUUAUUGGGCGUAAAGAGCGUGUAGGCGGUUCGGUAAGUCUGCUGUGAAAUCCUGGGGCUCAACCCUGGGCGUGCAGCGGAUACUGCCGGGCUAGAGGGUGGUAGAGGCGAGUGGAAUUCCGAGUGUAGCGGUGAAAUGCGCAGAUAUUCGGAGGAACACCAGUAGCGAAGGCGGCUCGCUGGGCCACACCUGACGCUGAGACGCGAAAGCGUGGGGAGCGAACAGGAUUAGAUACCCUGGUAGUCCACGCCGUAAACGAUGGAUACUGGGUGUGGGCGGAGUCGAAUCUGUCUGUGCCGAAGUUAACGCGUUAAGUAUCCCGCCUGGGGAGUACGGCCGCAAGGCUAAAACUCAAAGGAAUUGACGG
Molecule: ribosomal RNA, 582 nt
Filed under: uncultured bacterium
Lineage: Bacteria
Description: bacterial SSU rRNA
Rfam family: Bacterial small subunit ribosomal RNA
Source: RNAcentral